AAGCCCAUCAGAUGAUGAGUGAGUCAAGUCUUCUCUUCUCAUCGGAAAUCUGAAGUGCUGAGAAAGAAUACCCAUAAGUGAAUAGGUUGAUUCGUGUGAAAUUCAGUUACCUUAGGAAUGAAUUUCAGAAGAAAGUGAAGGGAAACCUCCUCCUUAUGAAAUGUGUUUUGUCAGAACUGCCCUAAGCGCUCCCAGUUCACUCACCCUUUUGGCUGAUUGAUGACAACUACAAAGGUGACCUUCAUGGAGAAGUAGGACCUAGAGCAGGUGGCUAGCAGUUCAUAGGGAGGUCUGUGUUGUUGUAGCCAUGCUGGUCCCAUGAUAGGAAGACAAGAUAGGUGAGGUAAUAUCUUUUAUUCAACCAAUGUCUGUUGGUGAAGGAGACAAGCUUUUGGGCUACAAAGAAUUCUUCUUCAGCGUGUGUAGGUGCUGGGAAUGGAGGAGUAUUGAAGUAGGUGCAGGUGGGAAGGAAGUACUAUUGAGAUGGGGACAGAAAAGGGCAGUACCUAACUUCAGACUGCGACAGAGAGUGGAAGUCCUGUGUGCCCUACCAUUGCUCACACUGGAAGAUUCAGCCAUGAGAUGGUAAAUUCUGAGCUCUGAACUCCAAUUCACAAAAGGAGAGAAUACAGCCUUCUGAAUAAAGCUAACAGAUCCCAGUGACACCUCUUCCCCCCCCCGCCUCCGCAAAAAAGUGAAAUAGGAAAAAAGAUGUGUGUUGUGUAAAACAUUUCCUAAGUAGAACUUUUUAUUCAACUAAAGAUAGGCAGAGAAAAUUGUUUUUAUUUGGUUUUAUAGGCACCAAAGAGUGACUGUUUUAAGAGUUAAUUAAAAAACUUGUACUGCCUCAAGGACUGACUAUACAUGCUAUUUUAGUUCUGUAUUAUAAAAUUAUGCCCUACUUGAAAAAAAUCUGCUUUUGUCUGGAAUGCUGUCCCCAUGCUUGGGAGAAGCUCCCCAUAAAUGUCCACAAAACUAAUGCAUUAUCCUUAAUGCAAAAUGCUCCUUAAAACUCUUUUGUUGCGAUGGCUACAAAAAGACCAGACAGCAUCUAGGCCACUCGUGCACUAAUAAAACAGCCUAUCAUGCUGACCACUAUUGUUUCAUUGUUUCC
Long non-coding RNA from Mauremys reevesii (Reeves's turtle), 1114 nucleotides. RefSeq lists it as uncharacterized. The transcript has 3 exons. NCBI's taxonomy places the organism in Eukaryota, Metazoa, Chordata, Testudines, Geoemydidae. The record is from RefSeq and is a predicted model, not a curated record.